RNAcentral lists this ribosomal RNA (420 nucleotides) under Enterobacter asburiae. RNAcentral's name for it is "partial 16S ribosomal RNA". It matches the Rfam family "Bacterial small subunit ribosomal RNA", at positions 685 to 1104 of the family's 1533-position model. RNAcentral also lists the same sequence under 1 other name. The record is from RNAcentral. Lineage: Bacteria; Pseudomonadati; Pseudomonadota; Gammaproteobacteria; Enterobacterales; Enterobacteriaceae.
AAUGCGUAGAGAUCUGGAGGAAUACCGGUGGCGAAGGCGGCCCCCUGGACAAAGACUGACGCUCAGGUGCGAAAGCGUGGGGAGCAAACAGGAUUAGAUACCCUGGUAGUCCACGCCGUAAACGAUGUCGACUUGGAGGUUGUGCCCUUGAGGCGUGGCUUCCGGAGCUAACGCGUUAAGUCGACCGCCUGGGGAGUACGGCCGCAAGGUUAAAACUCAAAUGAAUUGACGGGGGCCCGCACAAGCGGUGGAGCAUGUGGUUUAAUUCGAUGCAACGCGAAGAACCUUACCUACUCUUGACAUCCAGAGAACUUUCCAGAGAUGGAUUGGUGCCUUCGGGAACUCUGAGACAGGUGCUGCAUGGCUGUCGUCAGCUCGUGUUGUGAAAUGUUGGGUUAAGUCCCGCAACGAGCGCAACCC